RNAcentral lists this ribosomal RNA (465 nucleotides) under Vreelandella stevensii. RNAcentral describes it as "partial 16S ribosomal RNA". It matches the Rfam family "Bacterial small subunit ribosomal RNA", at positions 338 to 795 of the family's 1533-position model. The record is from RNAcentral. Lineage: Bacteria; Pseudomonadati; Pseudomonadota; Gammaproteobacteria; Oceanospirillales; Halomonadaceae.
CCUACGGGUGGCAGCAGUGGGGAAUAUUGGACAAUGGGGGCAACCCUGAUCCAGCCAUGCCGCGUGUGUGAAGAAGGCCCUCGGGUUGUAAAGCACUUUCAGUGAGGAAGAACGCCUGGUGGUUAAUACCCAUCAGGAAAGACAUCACUCACAGAAGAAGCACCGGCUAACUCCGUGCCAGCAGCCGCGGUAAUACGGAGGGUGCGAGCGUUAAUCGGAAUUACUGGGCGUAAAGCGCGCGUAGGUGGCUUGAUAAGCCGGUUGUGAAAGCCCCGGGCUCAACCUGGGAACGGCAUCCGGAACUGUCAAGCUAGAGUGCAGGAGAGGAAGGUAGAAUUCCCGGUGUAGCGGUGAAAUGCGUAGAGAUCGGGAGGAAUACCAGUGGCGAAGGCGGCCUUCUGGACUGACACUGACACUGAGGUGCGAAAGCGUGGGUAGCAAACAGGAUCAGAUACCCCGGUAGUC